GGGGAAAGCCGUUCCUCACACGGAGAGAAAGGUUCUGCUGAUGGAGCUGCAGCACUCGCCAUGGGAAGGUUAGAGACUGGAAGUGCCGGCUCCUGCCAGCACACAGCGAUUUGCAAGUGAAUGCGAGGGAGGGAGCAUCCGAGAGGAGGGCUGCGCAUGAAAGGCGUCCCCUCCCCCGCAGGGCAGAAAGACUCUCUGUUUCCAGCCUAAGAUUCACAGGAGGAACUCUUGGUUUAAUGGACUGCUGUCAUAUUUGGAAUUUCUUCAUGCUUCUCAACCAGAGAGGUGGAGUCCAUGAUCGCAGAACAAAGGAAACACUGAGAGGUUACAUCUUGAUUCACGAGGACGUGACAGAGAAAUGGUGCUGGAAAGGCUUAGGCAUUUGAGAACUCAAAGUUUUACCUCAGUGACCUAUCUUCACCAAGCAGACCACAAAAAGUUCAAGAACUUGAGCAUAGCAGUGAAGAGAACAUCAAGUGAAGUAUAUGGGUAUGAGGACUAGACAGAUGACUCCCUACCUCACCGUGCACAUCAAGCAAAUAGACUCCAACUUCACAGCUGCCUGAAGUAAUGAUAAACUACACACCAGUUAAGUCCACUGUUUUAAAUUUAUUCAUGUUAAUGUACUUUGGUCGUCUCAGAAAAGCCUCAAGGUUACAACUAUUAUUUUUAUAAUACAUACGAGAAAAUUGCAGUUUAGAGAGAUUGAGCCAUUAUUGAUACCCUAGAGCUAUAUAAGAGGUAGUAGGGAGAGAAGUGUGGAGAACCAAAGAAACCAAAUCAGGAAAUGCAGAAUCAUCUUAUAUAAUAUGGUGUCCCUGACAUUAUCUCUGAUUUUUGUGUCACCUAAAAGAGUAUGUGGAGGUUUCUAUCCUUUUGUCUCAACUAUAUUUGAAAACAAGCUAACUACAGGCAUGAUUAAUGAAGUUUGAGAAGAGGUCAUACUAAUGCAGGAUGUGCCCUUAAUCUAUGCCUUUAUUUGAAUAAGAAAGAAAAAUAAGAGAAAGUGUAAUGAGAACAAAUGAAGCGCACAGUAUUAAUGUGGUUGCCGGAAAACAAUCAAUACAGAUACGUGAAUAAUGCAUCCCCAAUCCUGUGAGAUGAAUGAAGUCUGGAGGCACCAAAGGCUAGAAGAAGAUGCCAUGCCCUGUGCUAGAGAGCCUUUCAGAAGAAAUUAACUGUAGCACCUCCUUCAUUUUGGAUCUCUACCCACUGACAUGAGAAAGCAUUGCUGCUGGAGCAGAUUUACGAGUCAUUCACCAUCCCAGGAAAGAACUUUGAGAUGUAGAUUGUCAGCACUGACCAUCAGCCUUUAGAAGCAUUUGGAAAUCGCUUCUUGGCCUUUUGGCUCUGAUCAAGUGUAGAAGCAUUUGGAAAAAUACAGUUGUUACUCAUGUUUUUCUACUGGUUCUGAUGUAGAAAAUCUUAAGGAACAAUGUAAGUUCAGAAAAGCACGCUCUUAUUAGUUAAGCUAGGGGACAUUUUAUGGUCAGGAAACAAGAACAAUGGCAGCACUGGCUGACAUGACUCUCACUGAGCCUGGACUGCUGCUGAUUGAUUUCAUACACUCAUAUUUUCUCCUCAGCUUCCAGAUAUGAUUGAUUAGGAAUUGCUGAUGAGUAGAUAUGCACUCUGAUAAUGAGAUAGAUAUGACUGAUUUUCAUAUAAAAGUGUAUAUUUGUGAUUCUUUUAAGAGUCCUAGAAGAUUACUUUUAAAGAUAAAUAAUAAAAUAAUUACUUCUUUCUUUGUAACUGCAGUUUGCUGCCUGCCAAUAAGAGAAACUGGCUGAGAAAACUACCCUACAUGCUUACAAUUUGUUAAUCUAUAACAAAUUGCUUAGAUACAGAUGUACGUGGGUUUUUGAGAAUAAUUUGUUUUAUCUGUGCUAUAUAAUGUUAUUUUUUGUAAAGGUAUUGGAGAACACAUUGCUUUUUCAUAACGAUUCACUAGUAAAAACGUAAUAUGUAUUCACAUUUUAAUUUUGUACUGUUUGAAAGAUUUUUCUGGGAUAUAUAAGCUAUGGAAUCAAAUAAAGUACGGGGGUUGGAACACUGUUACUUCCAUUCAUCAAAUAUGUUUAUGCAUAUGUAUAAGGUUUGUAUGAGUGGGAGUUAGCUUGUUCUUCCUUCCAUCUAUUAACUAUAUGUAUACAUGUGCACACCCACACUUCCACACAUACACACACACACACAUUUAGAACUUGUCUGGAUGUAUGUUGGAGCUUGCUACAUUUACCAAUUGUGUGUGUAAAUGUAUGUACAUAUGCAUGCAUAUAUAUGUGUGUAUAAAGUUAUUGAACUCUGCCUAUUGUUCAUCUACUCAGUGUUUUUGUGUGUGUGUGUGUGCGCGCGCAUGCAUGUGCAUAUUCCUGUGUGUGU
Molecule: long non-coding RNA, 2379 nt
Organism: Mus musculus (house mouse)
Lineage: Eukaryota; Metazoa; Chordata; Mammalia; Rodentia; Muridae
Product: RIKEN cDNA C030047K22 gene
Exons: 5
Source: RefSeq, a predicted model, not a curated record